RNAcentral lists this transfer RNA (104 nucleotides) under Phytophthora infestans T30-4. Its description in RNAcentral is "tRNA-Tyr for anticodon GUA". It matches the Rfam family "tRNA". Rfam says of the family: Transfer RNA (tRNA) molecules are approximately 80 nucleotides in length. Their secondary structure includes four short double-helical elements and three loops (D, anti-codon, and T loops). Lineage: Eukaryota; Oomycota; Peronosporomycetes; Peronosporales; Peronosporaceae. The record is from Rfam by way of RNAcentral.
CCGAGUGUAGCUCAGUUGGUAGAGCGAUUGACUGUAGUGUUCUAUACUGUGUUUCAGUAUUCUCGGAAAUCAAUUGGUCGCUGGUUCACUUCCGGCCACUCGGA